GUACUGCUGAGGAGUCCAACAAUAGGACGAAAUAGCCUUCCAGUGC
RNAcentral lists this non-coding RNA (46 nucleotides) under Schistosoma margrebowiei. Lineage: Eukaryota; Metazoa; Platyhelminthes; Trematoda; Strigeidida; Schistosomatidae. The record is from RNAcentral.